CUAAGCUUAAAUCCUUAAUUUGAUGAAUCAAAACUCAAAAUUAUCUUUUAAAAAUAUGAAUUGAUCAAUUAGGAUGCUAGAAAUUGGUUUGGAUUGAAAGGAAUUGAUCAUGUAAAAGUUAGAAACUUAAAUUUCCAAAACUGUCUUAAUGAAACUGCUUCAAUUCAGCCACUGUAUUUUGUUAAAUUAAAUAUGUAAACAAGCUUUAAAAUUAAUAAAAUUUUAUAGAGAUAUAGGUUGGGAUGUUGGGAAGGUUUUGGUAAAAGGAAAUGUCCAGAAGAUGAAAGGAAAGGAAUUUAUAGCUAAGUGAAUACAGACGGCUCAGUGUGACACUCUAAACAGAUUUCAGCACUGUGUUUAGGCUGUUUGGCCAUGUAAAUAAACUUUACAAAUUAUGAAAUUUUACAGAGAUGUAACCUAAGAUGUUAAGAAGGUUUUUUUGAAAAGGGAAAAUCCAAUUGAUGAGGGAAAAUGGAGAUAUUAAUAAAAGAAAGAAGACUGCUCAGUAUGUAAAAGCUGAAAAUUCUGAUUCUGUAAUUGGAUUAUUUGAAUAGGUAAAUAAACUCUAAAAUUCAUGAAAUUUAAUAUGGGAGUGCCUUAAGAUGCUGGGAACAUCGUGUGAAAAUUUCAUACCAAAAGGAUUUUUAGAAAUGAAAAUAUAUUCAAGAGAAUGUAAGUGACUGAUAUGCUGAAAAUUCUGGAUCUCCUAAAUGUGCACUAAAUUGAGCAUAUUAAAACAUAAGUGAAUAGACUAUGAACAUAAGCAUAUAAUGGAUGAACAUAAAGCUUAAUGUGUGUAAUUUCUGUCUCCAAAAUUUUAGAUUCAAAUUUAAUGAAUAAAAAUAUCAAAAAACCUUGAAUAUCAAUAAAGAGCUAGAAGCAAAACUAAAAAAGUUUAAUAUGUGUUUAAAUGUGAAUAUAGGCCGAGGAUUACCACGAAACUGUUUUGAAAAUUAUAAGUGCUCGAGAGGAACCAAAUUGUUGCUUUCAAGGUAGAGGUGAUCCAGAUCCAUUAGCUUCUUGAUUUCCUUCUUCCAACAAGAAGCCUGUGAAUGAUGUAACUAGUUGUCAGAUAUUAUAAGUUGUUAAUAAGCUAUAUGAACUCUAGUUUCUCCAUAGUACCUUUGUGAAUGAUAUUAGUAUUGUUUGUAUGAAGCUAUAAUGUAAACAGUAUUUUGAGAAUGUGAUAUAUGAUUAUACAAAGUGUAUGAAAGAUUGUAAUCAAU
Jatropha curcas is the source of this 1226-nucleotide non-coding RNA. NCBI's taxonomy places the organism in Eukaryota, Viridiplantae, Streptophyta, Magnoliopsida, Malpighiales, Euphorbiaceae. The record is from RefSeq and is a predicted model, not a curated record.